Molecule: ribosomal RNA, 253 nt
Filed under: uncultured bacterium
Lineage: Bacteria
Description: partial 16S ribosomal RNA
Rfam family: Bacterial small subunit ribosomal RNA
Source: RNAcentral
CACGUAGGGCGCAAGCGUUGUCCGGAAUUACUGGGCGUAAAGCGCGCGUAGGCGGCUUUGUAAGUUAGAGGUGAAAGCCCGGGGCUCAACCCCGGAACUGCCUUUAAGACUGCAUCGCUUGAAUCCGGGAGAGGUGAGUGGAAUUCCGAGUGUAGAGGUGAAAUUCGUAGAUAUUCGGAAGAACACCAGUGGCGAAGGCGGCUCACUGGACCGGCAUUGACGCUGAUGUGCGAAAGCGUGGGGAGCAAACAGG